Molecule: non-coding RNA, 370 nt
Organism: Pelobates cultripes (western spadefoot toad)
Lineage: Eukaryota; Metazoa; Chordata; Amphibia; Anura; Pelobatidae
Source: the annotation of a GenBank genome assembly
AUUUCAAACAGUGCUGAGGUUGUGUUGACAUUUUCUACUGAGGUAGUCUCUGGUGGCCAAGAGUCGUAUACCCAGUCAUUGCCAAAAAUCACUGCAUAACCUAUGGCUCCUGUUGCGUUGGUCCAAAUUACCAAGGAAACGUCAGAGAUGGGGGGGACGAAUAAUGACCUGCCAUUCCAAGAGGAUAUAAAUAGAGGCCACAUUUUUAAAUCGGCUCUAGCUAGUUCAUCUAAGUUAGUUCUGGAAUCCUCAUCAGGGAGACCGUGUAAGAGAGAGAGAAUUCUGGAAAUAAAUUACCUCCCCUGUGGAAUUAUCCUCAUCGUGAAAUUGAGUGACCCAAGAAGUGACUGUAGCUCUUUCCUGGUGCAAG